AUCGUUCAUCUGCAAAAGCAGACGGAAGUAAGAAGUAAACAUUCUGAAGGAACGCGCC
RNAcentral lists this non-coding RNA (58 nucleotides) under Geminocystis sp. NIES-3708. RNAcentral's name for it is "Glutamine riboswitch aptamer (glnA leader)". It matches the Rfam family "Glutamine riboswitch aptamer (glnA leader)". Lineage: Bacteria; Bacillati; Cyanobacteriota; Cyanophyceae; Chroococcales; Geminocystaceae. RNAcentral also lists the same sequence under 1 other name. The record is from Rfam by way of RNAcentral.